UAGGGAAUCUUCGGCAAUGGGCGAAAGUCUGACCGAGCAACGCCGCGUGAGUGAAGAAGGUUUUCGGAUCGUAAAACUCUGUUGUUAGAGAAGAACAAGGGUGAGAGUAACUGUUCACCCCUUGACGGUAUCUAACCAGAAAGCCACGGCUAACUACGUGUCAG
RNAcentral lists this ribosomal RNA (164 nucleotides) under uncultured bacterium. Its description in RNAcentral is "partial 16S rRNA". It matches the Rfam family "Bacterial small subunit ribosomal RNA", at positions 355 to 511 of the family's 1533-position model. The record is from RNAcentral.